RNAcentral lists this ribosomal RNA (2197 nucleotides) under Streptococcus pneumoniae K2521. RNAcentral's name for it is "bacterial LSU rRNA". It matches the Rfam family "Bacterial large subunit ribosomal RNA", at positions 720 to 2925 of the family's 2925-position model. The record is from RNAcentral. Lineage: Bacteria; Bacillati; Bacillota; Bacilli; Lactobacillales; Streptococcaceae.
ACCAUGUGACCUACCCAUGAGCAGGUUGAAGGUGCGGUAAGACGCACUGGAGGACCAACCAGGGCACGUUGAAAAGUGCUUGGAUGACUUGUGGGUAGCGGAGAAAUUCCAAACGAACUUGGAGAUAGCUGGUUCUCUCCGAAAUAGCUUUAGGGCUAGCGUCGACAUUAGAGAUUCUUGGAGGUAGAGCACUGUUUGGGUGAGGGGUCCAUCCCGGAUUACCAAUCUCAGAUAAACUCCGAAUGCCAAUGAAUUAUGGUCGGCAGUCAGACUGCGAGUGCUAAGAUCCGUAGUCGAAAGGGAAACAGCCCAGACCACCAGCUAAGGUCCCAAAAUAAUUGUUAAGUGGAAAAGGAUGUGGGGUUGCACAGACAACUAGGAUGUUAGCUUAGAAGCAGCUAUUCAUUCAAAGAGUGCGUAAUAGCUCACUAGUCGAGUGACCCUGCGCCGAAAAUGUACCGGGGCUAAAACAAUUUACCGAAGCUGUGGAUACCUUUAUAGGUAUGGUAGGAGAGCGUUCUAUGUGUGAUGAAGGUAUACCGUGAGGAGUGCUGGAACGCAUAGAAGUGAGAAUGCCGGUAUGAGUAGCGAAAGACAGGUGAGAAUCCUGUCCACCGUAAGACUAAGGUUUCCCAGGGAAGGCUCGUCCGCCCUGGGUUAGUCGGGACCUAAGGAGAGACCGAAAGGUGUAUCCGAUGGACAACAGGUUGAUAUUCCUGUACUAGAGUAUGUAGUGAUGGAGGGACGCAGUAGGCUAACUAAAGCAGACGAUUGGAAGAGUCUGUCUAAGCAGUGAGGUGUGAUAUGAGUCAAAUGCUUAUAUCUGUAACAUUGAGCUGUGAUGGGGAGCGAAGUUUAGUAGCGAAGUUAGUGACGUCACACUGCCAAGAAAAGCUUCUAGCGUUUAAACAUACUCUACCCGUACCGCAAACCGACACAGGUAGUCGAGGCGAGUAGCCUCAGGUGAGCGAGAGAACUCUCGUUAAGGAACUCGGCAAAAUGACCCCGUAACUUCGGGAGAAGGGGUGCUGACUUUAAGUCAGCCGCAGUGAAUAGGCCCAAGCAACUGGUUUAUCAAAAACACAGCUCUCUGCUAAAUCGUAAGAUGAUGUAUAGGGGGUGACGCCUGCCCGGUGCUGGAAGGUUAAGAGGAGUGCUUAGCGUAAGCGAAGGUAUGAAUUGAAGCCCCAGUAAACGGCGGCCGUAACUAUAAACGGUCCUAAGGUAGCGAAAUUCCUUGUCGGGUAAGUUCCGACCCGCACGAAAGGCGUAAUGAUUUGGGCACUGUCUCAACGAGAGACUCGGUGAAAUUUUAGUACCUGUGAAGAUGCAGGUUACCCGCGACAGGACGGAAAGACCCCAUGGAGCUUUACUGCAGUUUGAUAUUGAGUGUCUGUACCACAUGUACAGGAUAGGUAGGAGUCUAAGAGAUCGGGACGCCAGUUUCGAAGGAGACGCUGGUUGGGAUACUACCCUUGUGUUAUGGCCACUCUAACCCAGAUAGGUGAUCCCUAUCGGAGACAGUGUCUGACGGGCAGUUUGACUGGGGCGGUCGCCUCCUAAAAGGUAACGGAGGCGCCCAAAGGUUCCCUCAGAAUGGUUGGAAAUCAUUCGCAGAGUGUAAAGGUAUAAGGGAGCUUGACUGCGAGAGCUACAACUCGAGCAGGGACGAAAGUCGGGCUUAGUGAUCCGGUGGUUCCGUAUGGAAGGGCCAUCGCUCAACGGAUAAAAGCUACCCUGGGGAUAACAGGCUUAUCUCCCCCAAGAGUUCACAUCGACGGGGAGGUUUGGCACCUCGAUGUCGGCUCGUCGCAUCCUGGGGCUGUAGUCGGUCCCAAGGGUUGGGCUGUUCGCCCAUUAAAGCGGCACGCGAGCUGGGUUCAGAACGUCGUGAGACAGUUCGGUCCCUAUCCGUCGCGGGCGUAGGAAAUUUGAGAGGAUCUGCUCCUAGUACGAGAGGACCAGAGUGGACUUACCGCUGGUGUACCAGUUGUCUUGCCAAAGGCAUCGCUGGGUAGCUAUGUAGGGAAGGGAUAAACGCUGAAAGCAUCUAAGUGUGAAACCCACCUCAAGAUGAGAUUUCCCAUGAUUAUAUAUCAGUAAGAGCCCUGAGAGAUGAUCAGGUAGAUAGGUUAGAAGUGGAAGUGUGGCGACACAUGUAGCGGACUAAUACUAAUAGCUCGAGGACUUAUCCAAA